AGUUCGAGACCAGCCUGGCCAACAUGGCGAAACCUGGUUUCUACUAAAGAUACAAAAAUUAGUCAGGGUGGCACGGCGCAGGGCGGUGUAGGGUCGCCAUGGCGGAGCUGCAGCAGCUGCGGGUGCAGGAGGUGGUGGACUCCAUGCUGAAGAGUCUGGAGAGAGAGAAUAUCUGGAAGAUGCAGGGUCUCAUGUUCCGAUGCAGCACCAGCAGUUGUGAGGACGGCCAGACCUCCAUGCAGCAGGUGCACCAGUGCAUCAAAGCACUGCCAUUUGCCAUGCUUGAGCCAAAGCAAAGCCAGGCUCAAGCCCAGGGUUUGGUCACCAGUGAGUUGGAGAAGUUCUAGGACCACCUGGCCUAGUGCAUCAUGCAUUGCAAUGACAAAGUCAAAGAUUCAAUAGAUGCUGGGAGUAAGAAGCUUCAGGUGAAGCAGCAGCUGGACGGUUGUGUGACCAAGUGUGUGGAUGACCACACGCACUACAUCCCAACUAUGACCAAGAAGAUGAAGGAGGCUCUCUUAUCCACUGGGAAAUAACAAUCUUUGCCAGUGGCCAUUGGGGCUGAGGGCAGGAAUAUAUUUUUUAUAAGGAAUUGGGAAUUUUAGUCUUUUAAGCGAAGUUUAUGAAGAAACGAAGGAUGGCCACAAGUGUAAGACAUAUGUCACUUGCCUCUAGGCACUGGUUCUUUUAUGUUUCAGUCCUAAAAAAUGAAAUGGAAAAAAGUGGUACUAAAUUGGGUCAGAGAUAUUACAGUUGAGUUUUAGAGUUUAUAUGUCCUGUGGCCAGUGCUUGUCCUGCCAGUAAGGAUCUCCCCUGUAACAAGCCAGAGCCCUCCAAGGUACCAGACUCUUCUUACUACACAGGUACCAACAGGCUGGCAGGUUAGAGUUGGUGGAGUUUAAGGAGAGAUAUUUUCUCUUUGUUGCCAAUAUCCUGUUUACCAGAAGUGUCACCACACCAUUUUCUGUAAGUUGUAAAACAAAAUUGAUGAGGUCACUCACUUAGAAGGGCAAAAAAGUUUUCUGGGUCUUUGUUUUCUUGGUUUUGUGUAAUUUAUACAAGGCAAUACAAGUUGAUUUUAAGAUGUGGAAUUGGGAGGGAGACUAGUUUGGAUAAGAACUUGGAAAGGUUCCUUGUGGAUCCCCAUUUCUGGUCAAGAUGUGGAUGUACAUUUCUUAAAAUUAUUAUAUGCCACAUCUUUCAGCCUGGAGACCAUGCAAAAACAUGAGAGGUGACGACACACUAAUUAUGGGAAGCAUAAUUACUGGCUGAUGGGCCCUGAGGCUGUGUGUAGCAAAAUGACAGGAAAAUCUUGCAGUAACACUUUCCCAGUGAAGAGAACGGGAUUUUGAUUGUGAUAUAUACUAGUACCUAGGAAUGAACAGUAAAAGAGGAGCAGUUGGCUACUUGAUUACAACAGAGUUAUGAAGUACUGGAUUUGGAAAAACCUGGUUUUUAUAGAACGGAUGGAACGAAAGCCUAAACCUAGCAUUGCCUACUCAGCUCCCUGAAUUAACAGAGCACUAUUGACACAAAUCCCGGCAACAGGAAAUUCAAGGGAGAAAACGUAAGCAACUUGGGCUAGGAUGAGCCGACUCCCUUAGAGCAAAGGAGAGGCAGACCCCAUUACCAAAUACCAUUUUUGCCUGGGGCUUUCGCAACUUGCAGUGUUCCUGCCCUGGCAUGGCACCUUAUUCUUUUGAUAGCAACCUCAUUGUAUUUUCACCAACUUAUUACUUGAAAUGAUAAUACAGCCUAUCAUUUGCUGUUUCCAGGCUGUGAUAUAUUUUCCUAGUGGUUUGGUUUUAAAAAUAAAUAAGGUUUAAUUUUCUCCCCU
Molecule: RNA transcript, 1837 nt
Organism: Cercocebus atys (sooty mangabey)
Lineage: Eukaryota; Metazoa; Chordata; Mammalia; Primates; Cercopithecidae
Gene name: protein FAM136A pseudogene
Exons: 1
Source: RefSeq, a predicted model, not a curated record